CAAGUGGGUCGGAUGGGUUUGUUGCAUUUAAAUGUUGGGUACAUCGUUUAAAACGCAACAUAUUUAUAUCUAGAAAUGUUAUACGAAGUAGUAUUAAUUAAUGUUAUGCUUCUGUUUUUAUUUUUAUUUUCUUUUACUCCUUUUGUUUACCGAUGUAGCAACAUGUUAAUUCUGCUUUAAGUUUUAUUGUAUUAGAUAAUAUAGAGUAAUCUUGAAUUUUUUGCUUUUGUUUGUAGAUCUAUACUCUGUAAUCAGUAUGCUACAUAGCCAAAUUCGAUCACAUGGAGUAAAAUAAGAUGAUAUGGAACUCCUCUUAGGUUACAUGGCGAGUGAAAGGAACGCCAGUGAAAGGUAAAUGUCAUUAAAGGCCUGAAGAUGUACGAAAAUAUAUUCACUGGUCAAGAGCUUUCUAAGCUGAAUGAUUUCGUGGAUGCUGGACAAAAUGGAGAACUCUUAGGUGAAACAUAUAUUUUGUUCAACAAACAGAUCAAGGCUAACUAAAGGGAGCAGAUUCAACUUGGUGUUCAAAUAUUUGGACAAAUAAAAAGAUGAUACAACCCCUCAGCAGCAAAAGAGUUAUUGAUGAUUCAAGCGGUAAUAGUAUAAUGUAUAUCAAGAGAUUAACAAGUUAUCUUGAAGCUAAGCUAGCAUGGCGAUAUGAUUUACUCAAUUAAUUAGGAAGUUUUUUAUUUUAGUUUUGGACUUGUCCAUCUUGGAUUAAUGUCUAAAAAAUGAUUCUAAGAACUUGUUUUUAUUUUUGUUUAAUAAAGCAGUGUAAUGUAUGGAUGAUUACUAUCGCUUUUUGUAACUAAAUUUUUGCUAAAUAUAAAUUAGAGUUGUUUUAAGACAAUGUAGUUCAUUAUAUAUAAAUUCAAUUGUGCAUUCAUUUGU
Long non-coding RNA from Spinacia oleracea (spinach), 891 nucleotides. RefSeq lists it as uncharacterized. The transcript is spliced from 5 exons. NCBI's taxonomy places the organism in Eukaryota, Viridiplantae, Streptophyta, Magnoliopsida, Caryophyllales, Amaranthaceae. The record is from RefSeq and is a predicted model, not a curated record.